CUGGGAUGUGGCUUGGGAAUCGGGAUUUUUAAACGCUCCCCUAGUGGCGGGCCCCGUGGCUGAGUGGUUAAGUUCUCUCGCUCCGCUUCGGAGCGCCGGUUCAGAUCCUGGGCGCAGACAUGGCACCACUCAUCAGGCCAUCCUGUGGAGUCAUCCCACAUGCCACAACUAGAAGGACCCACAACUAAAAUAUACAAUGGUUCUAAAGAAAAUGUAGUCUCACUGUAGAAUAUUUGGAAAAUACAGAGCACCAAAAGGAAGAAGAAGAUUAAAUUUAAUCAUCCCCACCCCUCCUCCAUCAGAGAUAGAGGAUUAGCCCUGAGCUAACAUCCGUUGCCCAUCUGCCUCUACUUUAUAUAUGGAACGCCUACCACGGCAUGGCUUGCUGAGUGGGUUAUAUUCAUUGACCUACAUAUCUGCUAAUCUGUGUAAUGGUUUAUGCAGGAAAUUGCAAUUGAAGAAAGAUCUUACAUCAUACCAAGAGCGGAGGUUCCAGAGACGUGAUUUUCAAUUUAUCAAGAUGGGCAAUGGAUACUUUCAGUGUUCCUUGAGUAACAGAAAUGGCUUUUUUAUUGGAAUGAAACAGCAGCUGGACGUUCAGUAGGGGCAGAAGUCUUUUGGGUGGAAUUGCAGAGAAGUGCCAUGCUCCUGUCCCUUGGAGGAAGGAAAGAAGACAUAAUACUAAGUCAAGUGAAGAUGUUAUACUAAGUCUGGAGUUUUGAUAUCUUGAGCUGGACAUUCUUAUUAUUGCAUUAGUCACUGCAUUAGCGUAAAGUAACCAGAUUUCACCUAUUACCCGAGAAUCAGCAGUGAUGCCUUGCAACAGACAGAGUGUUUGUCCUGAGGCAAAGGAGGGUUAUAUCCACUAAAUGUAAUUAAAGGGGACCUGGGAGACAAAAAUAAAGUUAUAUAAUGUUUGUAAAACAACGUGGUUAUAGAAAU
RNAcentral lists this long non-coding RNA (942 nucleotides) under Equus caballus (horse). Its description in RNAcentral is "lncRNA (ENSECAG00000037122.3)". Lineage: Eukaryota; Metazoa; Chordata; Mammalia; Perissodactyla; Equidae. The record is from RNAcentral.